AACGAACGCUGGCGGCGUGGAUAAGACAUGCAAGUCGAACGCUGAUUUCAAGGUAGCAAUAUUUUGAAGUUGGAGUGGCGCAAGGGUGUGUAACACGUGGGUAAUCUGCCGUGAAGCCUGGGAUAACUUGCUGAAAGGCGAGCUAAUACCGGAUGUGAAAAUUAGAAGGCAUCUUUUGAUUUUCAAAGUUGGGACCGCAAGGCCUGACGCUUUAUGAUGAACCCGCGGCCAUCAGCUAGUUGGUGAGGUAAUAGCUCACCAAGGCUAAGACGGGGUAGGCUGGUCUGAGAGGACGACCAGCCACACUGGAACUGAGACACGGUCCAGACACCUACGGGUGGCAGCAGUCGAGAAUUUUUCUUCAAUGGGCGAAAGCCUGAAGGAGCGACGCCGCGUGGGGGAUGAA
RNAcentral lists this ribosomal RNA (406 nucleotides) under uncultured bacterium. RNAcentral describes it as "bacterial SSU rRNA". It matches the Rfam family "Bacterial small subunit ribosomal RNA", at positions 29 to 412 of the family's 1533-position model. The record is from RNAcentral.